AUUUAUAUAAUAUAAAAAUUAUAUUUAACUUCCAAUUAAAAAAUCUAGAAACCUAGUAUAAAUA
This 64-nucleotide transfer RNA is filed under the name Doryidomorpha fulva. Its description in RNAcentral is "tRNA-Gly". Lineage: Eukaryota; Metazoa; Arthropoda; Insecta; Coleoptera; Chrysomelidae. The record is from RNAcentral.